AACGAACGUUAGCGGCGCGCUUAACACAUGCAAGUCGAGCGAGAAAGGGCUUCGGCCCCGGUAAAGCGGCGCACGGGUGAGUAACACGUAGGUAAUUUGCCCUCAGGUGGUGGAUAACCUUCCGAAAGGAGGGCUAAUACAGCAUGAGACCACGCUCUCGAAAGGGAGAGGGGUCAAAGCCGGCCUCUUCAUGAAAGCUGGCGCCAGAGGAUGAGCCUGCGGCCCAUCAGCUAGUUGGUAGGGUAAUGGCCUACCAAGGCGAAGACGGGUAGCUGGUCUGAGAGGAUGAUCAGCCACACUGGAACUGAGACACGGUCCAGACUCCUACGGGAGGCAGCAGUGGGGAAUCUUGCGCAAUGGGCGAAAGCCUGACGCAGCGACGCCGCGUGAGUGAUGAAGGCCUUCGGGUUGUAAAGCUCUGUGGAGGGGGACGAAUAAGUGGUGGCUAAUAUCCACCAUGAUGACGGUACCCUUUUAGCAAGCACCGGCUAACUCUGUGCCAGCAGCCGCGGUAAAAC
RNAcentral lists this ribosomal RNA (518 nucleotides) under uncultured bacterium. RNAcentral describes it as "bacterial SSU rRNA". It matches the Rfam family "Bacterial small subunit ribosomal RNA", at positions 29 to 526 of the family's 1533-position model. The record is from RNAcentral.